CCGCCUCAGCCUUCCGAGUAGCUGGGACUACAGAUCCAGGAAGGCCACUGAGAUUUCCACUUUAUCUACUGUUCCUUGUGCACAUACUUACCAUAAAUCAAAACAGCCUCUGUGUUGUCAUCCUUCAAUAUUCAACACAUCACAUUGGAGUUGCCCUUUCCCUACAGAAUAUAAGCUCUGGGUCUGGGGGCUAAUGGUGUGGGGAUCCACCAUCUUGUCUUGCCACCACCUGAGACACAGACGUGGCUUCUAUUCGUAUGUCCCUAUUAACUGUUUUUCUCUGAGAA
RNAcentral lists this non-coding RNA (287 nucleotides) under Pongo abelii (Sumatran orangutan). The record is from RNAcentral. Lineage: Eukaryota; Metazoa; Chordata; Mammalia; Primates; Hominidae.